UUCUUAUUUUCUUAAAACAAAUGAACGUAGCACGCCUGGGCGUGCAUUUAUUAGGUUGCAUUUAUUGGUUGGCGGGACAGGGGUAAGAUCUCGGCCAUGGGCCUGAAUCCGCAAAGCAGCAGUGGGGUUUUGUGAAGGACAAAAUGGCGAUGGCGGGCCGCGGCGGCGGCGGCCCUCUUUGUGAUGAGAACCUUUUCACAGACCUGUACUGAGCUCCGUGAGGAUAAGACUCUCUGAAGAGACGGGCCUUGCACAGCCGAAGUCCAACACAGUCGUAGCCCCGGAAAACAAAGCGAUUGUGAAAUCACGGGUGUUGAUUUAACGUCCUUUUGUCUGUAGGGUUCGGGCGCACAUUCGAACGCUAAAGAACGGAAAAGAGCCUUCUUCUUAGGAUGUGGUUCAGCUCAAAAGACCUUACAGGUUGGAGGAUGGGACAAGACCUAUCACUGCAAGCUAGGCAUUACAGUGAUGCUCCAGCAUCUCAUCACCAGGCAUGGAAUCCAACUGCCUCCCAAAGUGAAUACAGGUUGUCCUGAUGGUGAUACAUGCAUCUAUCUUACAGCUCCAUGCCUAACAUGGGGCUCAAACACAUGACCUCGAGCUCAAGAGUCAGUUGCUCCACGGACUGAGCCAGCCAGGCUCCCCUUGAUCUAUUCUUCUAGAUGUUCAUUGAUGAUUCUGCCCCAGGAUUGAACUCUUGGAAAGCGUUAAGAAUGGAGUAUCUUGUUCCUGUGUGCUACCCAAAAGCCUCCGGAGUUAACAGGUGCUGUUACCAGUAACCUGCUUGAUUGCUCAAAGGUGCAGUACCUUGUGUGGAGCCCAAGAAUGAUUUGAGGAACCCUCGGCCACUUUUCUGCUUGGUUCCAGUCUAAAGUCAAAGGCCUGAAGAAAGAACAAGGCACAGGAAUCCAGUUCUUCAGGAAUAUCAAAAGGAAAUUUUCAGGUCAUUUUUUGUACGACCUAGUAUGGAAAGUAGCUUAUAUUUGUUUCAGCCUUUCUAAAUAAAAAGUUUAACCUUCA
Long non-coding RNA from Ailuropoda melanoleuca (giant panda), 1020 nucleotides. RefSeq lists it as uncharacterized. The record is from RefSeq and is a predicted model, not a curated record. The transcript has 11 exons. Lineage: Eukaryota; Metazoa; Chordata; Mammalia; Carnivora; Ursidae.